GGGUGCUAACAUGCAAGUCGCACGAGAAAGGGGAGCAAUCCCUGAGUACAGUGGCGCACGGGUGAGUAACACGUGAAUGAUCUACCUCCGAGUGGGGAAUAACUGAGAGAAAUCUUGGCUAAUACCGCAUAAUACCCACGGGUCAAAGCAGCAAUGCGCUUGGAGAGGAGUUCGCGGCCGAUUAGCUAGUUGGCGGGGUAAUGGCCCACCAAGGCGAUGAUCGGUAUCCGGCCUGAGAGGGCGCACGGACACACUGGAACUGAAACACGGUCCAGACUCCUACGGGAGGCAGCAGUGGGGAAUUUUGCGCAAUGGGGGAAACCCUGACGCAGCAACGCCGCGUGGAGGAUGAAGCCCCUUGGGGUGUAAACUCCUUUCGAUCGGGAAGAUAAUGACGGUACCGAUAUAAGAAGCCCCGGCUAACUUCGUGCCAGCAGCCGCGGUAAUACGAGGGGGGCAAGCGUUGUUCGGAAUUAUUGGGCGUAAAGGGUGCGUAGGCGGUUUGACAAGUCUGAUGUGAAAUCUAUGGGCUCAACCCAUAGUCUGCAUCGGAAACUGUCGGGCUUGAGUAUGGGAGAGGUGAGUGGAAUUUCCGGUGUAGCGGUGAAAUGCGUAGAUAUCGGAAGGAACACCUGUGGCGAAAGCGGUCACUUGGACCAUUACUGACGCUGAGGCACGAAAAGCUAGGGGGAGCAACAGGAUUAGAUACCCU
Molecule: ribosomal RNA, 712 nt
Filed under: uncultured bacterium
Lineage: Bacteria
Description: bacterial SSU rRNA
Rfam family: Bacterial small subunit ribosomal RNA
Source: RNAcentral